AUGAGCUCACUGGUUCUACUGCUGGCCACCCUGGGGCUCCUGGUUCAGGGUUCAUCAGGACAAAUCACCCUGACUCAGUCUCCUGAAUCUCAGUCUGUUGUUCCAGGACAGACUGUCUCCAUCAGAUGUAAAACCAGUUCAGGUGUUUACAGCAAUCUCCACUGGUACCUUCAGAAACCUGGAGAAGCUCCUAAACUCCUGAUUUAUGAUGCUUCAAGCCGUCAGUCUGGAGUUCCAGGUCGUUUCAGUGGAAGUGGAUCUGGGACUGACUUCACUCUGACCAUCAGUGGAGUUCAGGCUGAAGAUUCAGGAGUUUACUACUGUCAGCAGGGUUACAGCUCGUUCACACAGUGAUACAACGUCGUACAAAAACCUCCCUCAGCUGGAGAGGAACUGAUCUGAAUCAACAGCUGCACUCAAACUAAAACUAAAGGCUUUACUAAAAAUAAACAAUUAUUUAUAAUUUCCUUUGAAUAUUUGAACACUAAAUAUACUGUACAUAACAAAAAGUUAUACUUUUAAUGUUUUCAUACAAACAAGGUUUGAUACUGAUGAUACUGUUGAAGUAAUAUUUCACUUUGAUCAGGUCAUUCCCUGGAGUAUGAUGACAUGUGGACAAUCAAUUUGU
Non-coding RNA from Chelmon rostratus (copperband butterflyfish), 628 nucleotides. The record is from the annotation of a RefSeq genome assembly. Lineage: Eukaryota; Metazoa; Chordata; Actinopteri; Chaetodontiformes; Chaetodontidae.